UACAGAGGUGGCAAGCGUUGUUCGGAAUUACUGGGCGUAAAGGGCGCGUAGGCGGCUUGGUCAGUCCCGUGUGAAAUCCCUCGGCUCAACUGAGGAACUGCACGGGAAACUGCCUGGCUUGAGUUCGGGAGAGGGAAGCGGAAUUCCGGGUGUAGCGGUGAAAUGCGUAGAUAUCCGGAAGAACACCGAUGGCGAAAGCAGCUCUCUGGGACGGUACUGACGCUGAGGCGCGAAAGCGUGGGGAGCGAACCGG
This 253-nucleotide ribosomal RNA is filed under the name uncultured bacterium. RNAcentral describes it as "partial 16S ribosomal RNA". It matches the Rfam family "Bacterial small subunit ribosomal RNA", at positions 524 to 776 of the family's 1533-position model. The record is from RNAcentral.